CUUUUAUAUAAUAUGGUACAUUGACUCAGCUCUGUUAUUCUUUUCAAGCAGAACCAAACACAUUGUACAAUGAAAGUUCCAACCAUGUACUGGGUUCCGAAGCUGCGCAUAGCUCAUUACAAACAAAGAUUUGUUUUGUCUUCAAGCAAUUGUUCCCCUACUAUAUAUAUCAAUAUAUAUAAACAAUACACCAAAGUUUCAUGAGAACUGCUGAAAAGAUUUUUGAGUUAUUGUCCGAAAACUGGGAAAAAAAACCCUUUUUUAAUGAAUAGAAC
This 275-nucleotide long non-coding RNA is filed under the name Mytilus galloprovincialis (Mediterranean mussel). Lineage: Eukaryota; Metazoa; Mollusca; Bivalvia; Mytilida; Mytilidae. The record is from RNAcentral.